GUACUCGAGCGGCGAACGGGUGAGUAACACGUGAGUAAUCUGCCCCUGGCUUUGGGAUAGCCACCGGAAACGGUGAUUAAUACCGGAUAUGACCAUGUCACGCAUGUGGUGUGGUGGAAAGUUUUUCGGCCAGGGAUGUGCUCGCGGCCUAUCAGCUUGAUGGUGAGGUAAUGGCUCACCAUGGCUUCGACGGGUAGCCGGCCUGAGAGGGUGACCGGUCACACUGGGACUGAGACACGGCCCAGACUCCUACGGGAGGCAGCAGUGGGGAAUAUUGGACAAUGGGCGGAAGCCUGAUCCAGCAACGCCGCGUGAGGGAUGACGGCCUUCGGGUUGUAAACCUCUUUCAGCAGGGACGAAGCGCAAGUGACGGUACCUGCAGAAGAAGCACCGGCCAACUACGUGCCAGCAGCCGCGGUAAUACGUAGGGUGCGAGCGUUGUCCGGAAUUAUUGGGCGUAAAGGGCUCGUAGGCGGUUUGUCGCGUCGGGAGUGAAAACGCCGUGCUUAACACGGCGCUUGCUUUCGAUACGGGCAGACUAGAGGUAUUCAGGGGAGAACGGAAUUCCUGGUGUAGCGGUGAAAUGCGCAGAUAUCAGGAGGAACACCGGUGGCGAAGGCGGUUCUCUGGGAAUGACCUGACGCUGAGGAGCGAAAGUGUGGGGAGCGAACAGGAUUAGAUACCCUGGUAGUCCACACCGUAAACGUUGGGCGCUAGGUGUGGGGUCCAUUCCACGGAUUCCGUGCCGCAGCUAACGCAUUAAGCGCCCCGCCUGGGGAGUACGGCCGCAAGGCUAAAAC
Molecule: ribosomal RNA, 800 nt
Filed under: Nocardioides sp. BPC-C1/34-2
Lineage: Bacteria; Bacillati; Actinomycetota; Actinomycetes; Propionibacteriales; Nocardioidaceae
Description: bacterial SSU rRNA
Rfam family: Bacterial small subunit ribosomal RNA
Source: RNAcentral